GCCACGGUGGUCUAGCGGUUAGAACGCUGGGCUUGUAAUCCUGGGGUCUCGGGUUCGAUUCCCAGCGGUGCCC
RNAcentral lists this transfer RNA (73 nucleotides) under Zootermopsis nevadensis. It matches the Rfam family "tRNA". From Rfam's summary of the family: Transfer RNA (tRNA) molecules are approximately 80 nucleotides in length. Their secondary structure includes four short double-helical elements and three loops (D, anti-codon, and T loops). Lineage: Eukaryota; Metazoa; Arthropoda; Insecta; Blattodea; Termopsidae. The record is from Rfam by way of RNAcentral.